UACGUAGGGUGCGAGCGUUAAUCGGAAUUACUGGGCGUAAAGCGUGCGCAGGCGGUUAUAUAAGACAGUUGUGAAAUCCCCGGGCUUAACCUGGGAACUGCAUCUGUGACUGUAUAGCUAGAGUACGGCAGAGGGGGAUGGAAUUCCGCGUGUAGCAGUGAAAUGCGUAGAUAUGCGGAGGAACACCGAUGGCGAAGGCAAUCCCCUGGGCCUGUACUGACGCUCAUGCACGAAAGCGUGGGGAGCAAACAGGAUUAGAUACCCUGGUAGUCCACGCCCUAAACGAUGUCAACUGGUUGUUGGGUCUUCACUGACUCAGUAACGAAGCUAACGCGUGAAGUUGACCGCCUGGGGAGUACGGCCGCAAGGUUGA
This 373-nucleotide ribosomal RNA is filed under the name uncultured bacterium. RNAcentral's name for it is "bacterial SSU rRNA". It matches the Rfam family "Bacterial small subunit ribosomal RNA", at positions 524 to 897 of the family's 1533-position model. The record is from RNAcentral.